This 253-nucleotide ribosomal RNA is filed under the name uncultured bacterium. RNAcentral describes it as "partial 16S ribosomal RNA". It matches the Rfam family "Bacterial small subunit ribosomal RNA", at positions 524 to 776 of the family's 1533-position model. The record is from RNAcentral.
GACGGAGGGUGCUAGCGUUGUUCGGAAUUACUGGGCGUAAAGGGCGCGUAGGCGGCUACGACAGUCGGGUGUGAAAGCCCGGGGCUCAACCCCGGAACUGCAUCCGAUACUCUGUGGCUAGAGACCGGAAGAGGUGGGUGGAAUACCCAGUGUAGAGGUGAAAUUCGUAGAUAUUGGGUGGAACACCGGUGGCGAAAGCGGCUCACUGGUCCGGUUCUGACGCUGAGGCGCGAAAGCGUGGGGAGCAAACAGG